Molecule: ribosomal RNA, 1844 nt
Filed under: Campylobacter coli
Lineage: Bacteria; Pseudomonadati; Campylobacterota; Epsilonproteobacteria; Campylobacterales; Campylobacteraceae
Description: bacterial LSU rRNA
Rfam family: Bacterial large subunit ribosomal RNA
Source: RNAcentral
UUAGAAUAUGAGAAACUAAGUUAUAUGUUUAGUUAUAUUUUUACUGAUUUUUAUAGAGUAAAGAUAGAAAUAAAACUUAGUAAAAUCAGUAAAAAUAUUCUUAGACUAAAGUUAAGUAGUUUAAGUUGUGUGCAAGUGGUAGGAGAGCGUUCUAUUUGCGUCGAAGGUAUACCGGUAAGGAGUGCUGGAGCGAAUAGAAGUGAGCAUGCAGGCAUGAGUAGCGAUAAUUAAUGUGAGAAUCAUUAACGCCGUAAACCCAAGGUUUCCUACGCGAUGCUCGUCAUCGUAGGGUUAGUCGGGUCCUAAGUCGAGUCCGAAAGGGGUAGACGAUGGCAAAUUGGUUAAUAUUCCAAUACCAACAUUAGUGUGCGAUGGAAGGACGCUUAGGGCUAAGGGGGCUAGCGGAUGGAAGUGCUAGUCUAAGGUCGUAGGAGGUUAUACAGGCAAAUCCGUAUAACAAUACUCCGAGAACUGAAAGGCUUUUUGAAGUCUUCGGAUGGAUAGAAGAACCCCUGAUGCCGUCGAGCCAAGAAAAGUUUCUAAGUUUAGCUAAUGUUGCCCGUACCGUAAACCGACACAGGUGGGUGGGAUGAGUAUUCUAAGGCGCGUGGAAGAACUCUCUUUAAGGAACUCUGCAAAAUAGCACCGUAUCUUCGGUAUAAGGUGUGGUUAGCCUUGUAUUAGGAUUUACUCCGAAAGCAAGGAAACUUACAACAAAGAGUCCCUCCCGACUGUUUACCAAAAACACAGCACUCUGCUAACUCGUAAGAGGAUGUAUAGGGUGUGACGCCUGCCCGGUGCUCGAAGGUUAAUUGAUGGGGUUAGCAUUAGCGAAGCUCUUGAUCGAAGCCCGAGUAAACGGCGGCCGUAACUAUAACGGUCCUAAGGUAGCGAAAUUCCUUGUCGGUUAAAUACCGACCUGCAUGAAUGGCGUAACGAGAUGGGAGCUGUCUCAAAGAGGGAUCCAGUGAAAUUGUAGUGGAGGUGAAAAUUCCUCCUACCCGCGGCAAGACGGAAAGACCCCGUGGACCUUUACUACAGCUUGACACUGCUACUUGGAUAAGAAUGUGCAGGAUAGGUGGGAGGCUUUGAGUAUAUGACGCCAGUUGUAUAUGAGCCAUUGUUGAGAUACCACUCUUUCUUAUUUGGGUAGCUAACCAGCUUGAGUUAUCCUCAAGUGGGACAAUGUCUGGUGGGUAGUUUGACUGGGGCGGUCGCCUCCCAAAUAAUAACGGAGGCUUACAAAGGUUGGCUCAGAACGGUUGGAAAUCGUUCGUAGAGUAUAAAGGUAUAAGCCAGCUUAACUGCAAGACAUACAAGUCAAGCAGAGACGAAAGUCGGUCUUAGUGAUCCGGUGGUUCUGUGUGGAAGGGCCAUCGCUCAAAGGAUAAAAGGUACCCCGGGGAUAACAGGCUGAUCUCCCCCAAGAGCUCACAUCGACGGGGAGGUUUGGCACCUCGAUGUCGGCUCAUCGCAUCCUGGGGCUGGAGCAGGUCCCAAGGGUAUGGCUGUUCGCCAUUUAAAGCGGUACGCGAGCUGGGUUCAGAACGUCGUGAGACAGUUCGGUCCCUAUCUGCCGUGGGCGUAAGAAGAUUGAAGAGAUUUGACCCUAGUACGAGAGGACCGGGUUGAACAAACCACUGGUGUAGCUGUUGUUCUGCCAAGAGCAUCGCAGCGUAGCUAAGUUUGGAAAGGAUAAACGCUGAAAGCAUCUAAGCGUGAAGCCAACUCUAAGAUGAAUCUUCUCUAAGCUCUCUAGAAGACUACUAGUUUGAUAGGCUGGGUGUGUAAUGGAUGAAAGUCCUUUAGCUGACCAGUACUAAUAGAGCGUUUGGCUUAUCUUU